This is a long non-coding RNA of Oncorhynchus tshawytscha (Chinook salmon), 1391 nucleotides long. The record is from Ensembl. NCBI's taxonomy places the organism in Eukaryota, Metazoa, Chordata, Actinopteri, Salmoniformes, Salmonidae.
GUAAUAGUAAAAAGUUGUAAUAGAGUAAAGUUGUAAUAUAGUAAAGUUGUAAUAUAGUAGAGUAAAGUUGUAAUAGAGUAAAGUUGUAAUAGUAAAAAGUUGUAAUAGAGUAAAGUUGUAAUAGUAAAAAGUUGUAAUAGAGUAAAGUUGUAAUAGUAAAAAGUUGUAAUAGAGUAAAGGUGUAAUAGUAAAAAGUUGUAAUAGUAAAAAGUUGUAAUAGAGUAAAGUUGUAAUAUAGUAAAUUUGUAAUAGAGUAAAGUUUUAAUAGUAAAAAGUUGUAAUAGAGUAAAGUUGUAAUAGUAAAAAGUUGUAAUAGUAAAAAGUUGGAAUAGAGUAAAGUUGUAAUAUAGUAAAGUUGUAAUAGUAAAAAGUUGUAUUAGAGUAACGUUGUAAUAGUAAAAAGUUGUAAUAGAAGAAAGUUGUAUUAGAAUAAAGUUGUAAUAGAGAAAAGUUAUAAUAUAGUAAAGUUGUAAAAGUAAAAAGUUGUAAUAGAGUAAAGUUGUAAUAGUAAAAAGUUGUAAUAGAGUAAAGUUGUAAUAGAGUAAAGUUGUAAUAGUAAAAAGUUGUACUAGAGUAAAGUUGUAGUAGAGUAAAGUUGUAAUAGAGUAAAGUUGUAUUAGUAAAAAGUUGUAAUAGAGUAAAGUUGUAAUAGUAAAAAGUUGUAAUAGAGUAAAGUUGUAAUAUAGUAAAGUUGUAAUAUAGUAGAGUAAAGUUGUAAUAGAGUAAAGUUGUAAUAGUAAAAAGUUGUAAUAGAGUAAAGGUGUAAUAGUAAAAAGUUGUAAUAGAGUAAAGUUGUAAUAGAGUAAAGUUGUAAUAGUAAAAAGUUGUAAUAGAGUAAAGUUGUAAUAUAGUAAAGUUGUAAUACAGUAAAGUUGUAAUAGAGUAAAGUUGUAAUAGUAAAAAGUUGUAAUAGAGUAAAGUUGUAAUAGUAAAAAGUUGUAAUAGUAAAAAGUUGGAAUAGAGUAAAGUUGUAAUAUAGUAAAGUUGUAAUAGAGAAAAGUUGUAAUAGUAAAAAGUUGUAAUAAAGUAAAGUUGUAACAGAGUAAAGUUGUAAUAGAGAAAAGAUGUAAUAGUAAAAAGUUGUAAUAGAGUAAAGUUGUAAUAGAGUAAAGUUGUAAUAGAGUAAAGUUGUAAUAGUAAAAAGUUGUAAUAGAGAAAAGUUGUAAUAUAAAACAGUUGUAAUAGAGUAAAGUUGUAAUAGUAAAACGUUGUAAUAGAGUAAAGUUGGAAUAUAUUAAAGUUGUAAUAGAGUAAAGUUGUAAUCGAGAAAAGUUGUAAUAGUAAAAAGCUGUAAUAGAGUAAAGUUGUAAUAGUAAAAAGUUGUAAUAGAGUAAAGUUGUAAUAGUAAAAAGUUGUAAUAGAGUAAAGUUGUAAUAGUAAAAAGUUGUAAU